This is a non-coding RNA of Ictidomys tridecemlineatus (thirteen-lined ground squirrel), 427 nucleotides long. The record is from RefSeq and is a predicted model, not a curated record. NCBI's taxonomy places the organism in Eukaryota, Metazoa, Chordata, Mammalia, Rodentia, Sciuridae.
GGGAUCAGGAUUCCUCCUGGCUUAGCUGCUCCCACUUGGAGGGGAGGAGCAAUUAAGAUGGGAGGACGGAGCUGUCUCCUGCUUCAGCUGGACCAGAUAAGUCAGAUGAGAAUGAGCCCAGGACUGCAGGAUCCAACAAGGGACAGCUCAGAAAAUGUCUGGGAUACAUUCUCUGACGGACGCCUGUGUAUAUCAUCAUAAGUGAAUGACUGUUUGGAGAUUCAGAGCUGCUGCUUCUGGUGGUGUCCUGGGGACAUCCUUUGCUGCAUAAAGGAGGUGUGGGAUGGAGGAGGGCUCAACCACUCACCGUCCAGAAUUCAACAAGACAGAAGCAUCAAGCCAGAGUUGCCAAAAAUGUAGUCCAACUUGAGAUUCAAUUUUCUGAGAAGAGAUGGGUGGAAGAAUUAUUCAGAAGACUGAAACAGAG